Molecule: long non-coding RNA, 1076 nt
Organism: Oreochromis aureus
Lineage: Eukaryota; Metazoa; Chordata; Actinopteri; Cichliformes; Cichlidae
Source: Ensembl
CAGUGUGAAAUCAUUAACAGAAAGUUUAACACUGGAGCACAAAGACAGCGGCAGGAGCUGUAAAAACCAAUGUAUAUAUGAUCCAUCCUGCCCAGUCAACCUUUUGGGGAGAGAUGCUCUAGAAAAACUUAAAAUAGGAGUAGUUCCAGGGCCAGAAGGAAUGUAUGCAAAAACAAUGCUGUGCGAGGGACUAGACCAUCAAGUUAACGAGUUGGUAGUGCAUGAAGGAGAAGGUGUACCCAGUUACUACUGGACACUGGACCUACCCCCAUUAAAACCUUUGCAAAACAUAGCUAACCGCUACCUACCAGGCCACUCCAGAAAGCUAAACUUCUCUGAGUACCACAACACCCUGAGAUUCAAACAAAGUCCAGGUCCACAAAAACUCACCCUGCAACACCUGUACGUCACCCAAAGUGGAAACGCAGUAUGUUCAGUGAUACAGCCAGAGAAGGUGCAGGAUUUAAACAGAAUGCCAAAACCACAUGUGUCAGUUGCAAGAAACGAAAGCACACAGUGGAAGGAUCUAGGUCACAUCCUCACACAGGUGGAGAGGGAUAGAUAUGAAAAAACUGAAGAAACUCAUGAAGGGUGGUUACAGGGCCGUAGAACAGGGUGUAUGCGAUACACUCUGGGGUGGGUGUUCACUGCACAGCCAGCAACCCACAUGACUGACUGUGCAAACGCAUAUAUGUCUGAAAACAAUGAGAACUGACACACACUCUCUUUAGAACAAAACUCUGAAUUGGCAGAGUUACCUGCAAGACUGUGGUCUACAGGACCAACAGAUGUAGGAUUAAUCAAAGAAGCAGACCCUGUUGUAGUAAAAACCACCACCACCUAUAGACCAGUGAAACCACAAUACCCUCUCACAGCCGAAGCCAAAGCUGGAAUAAAACCCAUCAUUGCAGACAUGGAGAAGGCAGGAAUCUUAGUCAAAACAAACAAAGUAACCUGCAACACACCAAUCUUCCCCGUGAAAAAAAAGCUAACACAGGAAAGUACCGGCUGGUACAUGAUCUAAGAGCAAUAAAUGAAGUAACAGAGCAAAUCCCACCAGUAGUGGCAAACCCGCA